AGGGACUUUAAACUGAGAUGACGGGUUGACAGGUGCAAGAAACCACCAUGACACAUGUACACCUAUGUAACAAACCUGCACAUUCUGCACAUGUAUCCCAGGAUUUAAAGCAAAAA
This is a long non-coding RNA of Sapajus apella (tufted capuchin), 116 nucleotides long. RefSeq lists it as uncharacterized. The transcript is spliced from 3 exons. NCBI's taxonomy places the organism in Eukaryota, Metazoa, Chordata, Mammalia, Primates, Cebidae. The record is from RefSeq and is a predicted model, not a curated record.